RNAcentral lists this signal recognition particle RNA (297 nucleotides) under Peromyscus maniculatus bairdii (prairie deer mouse). Its description in RNAcentral is "Metazoan signal recognition particle RNA (ENSPEMG00000004884.2)". It matches the Rfam family "Metazoan signal recognition particle RNA". From Rfam's summary of the family: The signal recognition particle (SRP) is a universally conserved ribonucleoprotein. It is involved in the co-translational targeting of proteins to membranes. The eukaryotic SRP consists of a 300-nucleotide 7S RNA and six proteins: SRPs 72, 68, 54, 19, 14, and 9. The record is from RNAcentral. Lineage: Eukaryota; Metazoa; Chordata; Mammalia; Rodentia; Cricetidae.
GUCGGGCGCGGUGGCCCACGCCUGUAGUCCCAGCUACUCGGGAGGCUGAGACAGGAGGAUCGCUUAAGUCCAGAAGUUCUGGGCUGUAGUGCGCUAUGCUGAUCGGGUGUCCGCACUAAGUUCGGCAUCAAUAUGGUGACCUCCCGGGAGCAGGGGGACCACCAGGUUGCCUAAGGAGGGGUGAAUCAGCCCAGGUCGGAAACGGAGCAGGUCAAAACUCCCGUGCUGAUCAGUAGAAUGAGCUACAGUCAUGGCAGAGCUGAAAUUAUCCCCACUGUUACACUAAGUGCCAAUCUA